This 253-nucleotide ribosomal RNA is filed under the name uncultured bacterium. RNAcentral describes it as "partial 16S ribosomal RNA". It matches the Rfam family "Bacterial small subunit ribosomal RNA", at positions 524 to 776 of the family's 1533-position model. The record is from RNAcentral.
UACGUAGGGUGCAAGCGUUAAUCGGAAUUACUGGGCGUAAAGCGUGCGCAGGCGGUUGUGCAAGGCCGAUGUGAAAUCCCCGGGCUUAACCUGGGAAUGGCAUUGGUGACUGCACGGCUAGAGUGUGUCAGAGGGGGGUAGAAUUCCACGUGUAGCAGUGAAAUGCGUAGAGAUGUGGAGGAAUACCGAUGGCGAAGGCAGCCCCCUGGGAUAACACUGACGCUCAUGCCCGAAAGCGUGGGGAGCAAGCAGG